CCCACCUGGAGGCCAAGAAAUUAAAAGGUUGCACCUGGCCAGCUUGUCUACCCACUCUAGAUGAUCCUAGAAAUCAUGCUGUACAGAAGAUCCACAACUUCCUUCCAUCAGAUCUUCUCCCCUCCACUUUUCUUUUUUCUCCCUUCCUUUGUGUGAAGCAGAAGGGACCCUCACGAGGAGCUCAAUCAACCAGCCCGUUCAUCAUCUUGUCUUCUUACUACACAACUGUGAAGAGAAACUGUUAUACCAGAGCUCUCCUCAGCCUGUGGUGAGUCAUUACAGAAAUGUGAACUAAAACAACAGAGAGCUCUUAUUUUUAAACUACUCUGCAAGCUAGACUCCUUGGAAACACAAUGAGACGCAGCAGCGGCAUCCAUACACUUUAUAACAUCCUGAUGUCAACAGAAGCCUGGGCUCCAAGGCCGACAGGUGAAAGGGGACUGAUCUCCAACUUCUCUAACAUGGCUUUAAGGAAGGUUCCCCGAGAUGUGACUCCAGCCACAACCACACUGGAUUUAUCCUACAACCUCCUCUAUCAAUUGCAGAGCUCAGAUUUCCACUCUUUUUCCAAACUGCAUUUUCUGAUCCUGUGCCACAAGAUCCAAGAGCUGGACACCAGGAACAAGAUCCAAGAGCUGGACACCAGGAACAAGAUCCAACAGCUGGACACCAGGAACAAGAUCCAACAGCUGGACACCAGGAACAAGAUCCAACAGCUGGACACCAGGAACAAGAUCCAACAGCUGGACACCAGGAACAAGAUCCAACAGCUGGACACCAGGAACAAGAUCCAACAGCUGGACACCAGGAUCUUUGACCUUAACAAGGAGUUAAGCUAUUUAGACUUGUCUUACAACAGACUAAAGUCCAUCACUUUGUCUUCCAUGGCAGAUCUCAUUUAGAUCUUUCUUUUAAUGACUUUGAUAUUCUGCCUGCCUGUGAGAAGACAGGCAACAUUGCCGUAUCUGGAAACCCUAGCUUUGAGCGGGGCAAAAAUACAAAGCUCAGAUCUCCAGAAAAUUGCUCGUGUGCAUCUCAGCACUGUGUUGUGAGGGCUGCGUACUCUGUCUCUCUAUGAAAAACAGACUGCCCAUCCUAAACACGACAGCGCUUCAUGUCGUUUUACCAAUGAACACAAAUUUCUGGGUGCUUUUGCGUGAUGGAAUGAAGACUUCAAAAAUAGUAGAAAUGCCAAAUAUAGGUGGCAAGAGACAUUUUCUAAGUUAUGAGACUCCGAGAACUCUUUCUGUGGAGAACACCAAGGCGUGCACUCUGAUACUCCAUAAAGUUGACUUGCUCUGGGACGACCUUCUCCACAUUUCCCAGUUUGUGUAGCGGACAUCAGUGGAAUGCUUCCAGAUUCAGGGCCUGACUUUUGGAAGGAUGGUUAAUCGGGACCCAUUCAUUUGACUUCUCAAAUACUGUAUUGAAGGCUAUAAUCUUCAUACAUCUCAGGAUCUCUUUUAUUCCCCAGGAUAGAAUCUACUUGUUUUUCACCCAAAUGGAUUUAGAAAACCUGACGAUAUCUGGUGCACAAAUGCCACAUCUGCUCUUCCCUAGUCACCCCCAAAGUUUCCAGCAUUUAAAUUUUGCCAAUAACAUUUUGUUUGUUUGUUUGUUUUUUUAUUUUUUUGUUUUUCAAGACAGGAUUUCUCUGUAUAGCCCUGGCUGUCCUGUAACUCACUCUGUAGACCAGGCUGCCCUUGAACUCAGAAAUCCACCUGCCCCUGCCUCCCAAAUGCUGGGAUUAAAGGCAUGCACCACCACUGCCCGGCCCGCCAAUAACAUCUUAACAGACGACCUGUUUAAAAACCCUAUCUAGCUGCCUUAUUGGAAACCUCUCAUUUUGAGGGGCAACAAACUGGAGACUCUUUCUCUGGUGAGUCUCUUUGCCUGUGAAUUAAGAGAUUUCAAUUGGCUUGAAAAACAUCCCAAGGGCCUGAUGGCUGGGUAGCCAGAUUCAUAUGCCUGUGAAUAUCCUUUGAGUCUGAAGGCGACUCCAUUAAACGAUGUUUCUCUUUCCCAAUUAGCUUGCAACACAACUUGGCUGAUGGUCACCAUUGUGCUGGUUGUGCUGAUUCUGGGUUUGGGUGUAGCAUUCUGCAUGCUUUACUUUCACGGAUGCUGGUAUCUCAGGAUGCUGGGCCAGUGCAUACGGACCCAGCAUAGCGUUAGGAAGACAAUUCAAGAGGAGUGUAAGAGAAGUGUACAGUUCCACACCUUUAUCUCCUAUGCUGCACAAGAUACAGCCUGGGUGAAGAACAAACUGAUUCCCAAUUUAGAAACAGAAGAUGGCUCUGUCCUGCUUUGUCUUCCGGGGAGAAACUUUGACCCUGACAGGAGCAGUGCUGAAAAUAUAAUAAGCUGCACUGAGGAAAGCUAUAAGUCCAUCUUCAUGCUGUCUCCCAACUUUGUUCGGAAUAGGUGGUUCCUUGCCACCCAGAGUCCCCUUGUCCCUUCCUUGGAGACCUUGGCAGAACCCAGAGAAGUCAUGGUGGGGUGGGGCAGAGGGGGAGCUGGAAACUAAUACACUGUGGCUUUGACUUUUGGGGAAGUGAAACAGACGUUGUAGGAGAUGCUGCAAACCUUGAGUGAAAUUGUCCACACGAGACAACUCCCUUCCAAGAUGAACCGUUUAGCCUUACACUCACCAGGAUUCAGCUAUUUCAUGGCUGUUGGGAGCCGCCCCCACAUUCGCCGUCACAAGAUGGCGCUGACAUCCUGUGUUCUAAGUGGUAAACAAAUAAUCUGCGCAUGUGCCAAGGGUAUUUUACGACUACUUGUACUCUGCCUUUCCCGUGAACGUCAGCUCGGCCAUGGGCUGCAGCCAAUCAGGGAGUGAUGCGUCCUAGGCGAAAUAUAACGCUCCUAAAAAAGGGGACGGGGUUUUCCGCCAUUCUCUCUCGCUGGCAUCUCUCUGGCUCUGCGCGCCCUGCGCUCUCUCGCUGCCUAAAGAUGUAAACAAUAGAGCGCGCUCUGCGCUUUGGCGCGCCGGAGCUCUGGCUCCUAAAGAUGUUAUAGGGGUGGCUUUCGCUUUUGGGGCUGGGGGUUUGCGCUCCUAGCUCCUGAAGAUGUAAGCAAUAAAGUUUUGCCGCAGAA
Mus musculus (house mouse) is the source of this 3099-nucleotide RNA transcript. It is a transcript of the gene named predicted gene, 21011, with no coding region annotated. The transcript has 3 exons. The record is from RefSeq and is marked validated. Lineage: Eukaryota; Metazoa; Chordata; Mammalia; Rodentia; Muridae.